CCUACGGGAGGCAGCAGUAGGGAAUAUUGCUCAAUGGGGGAAACCCUGAAGCAGCAACGCCGCGUGGAGGAUGAAGGUCUUAGGAUUGUAAACCUCUUUUGUUAGAGAAGAUAAUGACGGUAUCUCACGAAUAAGCACCGGCUAAUUCCGUGCCAGCAGCCGCGGGAAUACUGAGGGUGCAAGCGUUAGUCGGAAGCACUGGGCGUAAAGUGUGCGGAGGCGGGCUUGUAAGUCAGAUGUGAAAUCCUAUGGCUUAACUACAGAACUGCAUUUGAAACUAUGAGUCUAGAGUGUGGGAGAGGUAGGUGGAAUUCUAGGUGUAGCGGUGAAAUCCGUAGAUAUCAAGAGGAAUACUCAUUGCGAAGGCAGCAUACCGGCGCUCAACUGACGCUCAUGCACGAAAGUGUGGGUAUCGAACAGGAUUAGAUACCCUUGUAGUC
This 440-nucleotide ribosomal RNA is filed under the name uncultured bacterium. RNAcentral's name for it is "partial 16S ribosomal RNA". It matches the Rfam family "Bacterial small subunit ribosomal RNA", at positions 338 to 795 of the family's 1533-position model. The record is from RNAcentral.